RNAcentral lists this ribosomal RNA (261 nucleotides) under uncultured prokaryote. Its description in RNAcentral is "partial 16S ribosomal RNA". It matches the Rfam family "Bacterial small subunit ribosomal RNA", at positions 524 to 784 of the family's 1533-position model. The record is from RNAcentral.
UACGUAGGGUGCGAGCGUUGUCCGGAAUUAUUGGGCGUAAAGAGCUUGUAGGCGGUUUGUCGCGUCUGCUGUGAAAAUCCGGGGCUCAACCCCGGACUUGCAGUGGGUACGGGCAGACUAGAGCGUGGUAGGGGAGACUGGAAUUCCUGGUGUAGCGGUGAAAUGCGCAGAUAUCAGGAGGAACACCGAUGGCGAAGGCAGGUCUCUGGGCCACUACUGACGCUGAGAAGCGAAAGCAUGGGGAGCGAACAGGAUUAGAUA